GGUAGCCGGCCUGAGAGGGUGAACGGCCACAAGGGGACUGAGACACGGCCCUUACUCCUACGGGAGGCAGCAGUGGGGAAUAUUGGACAAUGGACCAAAAGUCUGAUCCAGCAAUUCUGUGUGCACGAUGAAGUUUUUCGGAAUGUAAAGUGCUUUCAGUUGGGACGAAGUAAGUGACGGUACCAACAGAAGAAGCGACGGCUAAAUACGUGCCAGCAGCCGCGGUAAUACGUAUGUCGCAAGCGUUAUCCGGAUUUAUUGGGCGUAAAGCGCGUCUAGGCGGUUUGGUAAGUCUGAUGUGAAAAUGCGGGGCUCAACUCCGUAUUGCGUUGGAAACUGCCAAACUAGAGUACUGGAGAGGUGGGCGGAACUACAAGUGUAGAGGUGAAAUUCGUAGAUAUUUGUAGGAAUGCCGAUGGGGAAGCCAGCCCACUGGACAGAUACUGACGCUAAAGCGCGAAAGCGUGGGUAGCAAACAGGAUUAGAUACCCUGGUAGUCCACGCCGUAAACGAUGAUUACUAGGUGUUGGGGGUCGAACCUCAGCGCCCA
RNAcentral lists this ribosomal RNA (550 nucleotides) under uncultured Fusobacterium sp. RNAcentral's name for it is "bacterial SSU rRNA". It matches the Rfam family "Bacterial small subunit ribosomal RNA", at positions 282 to 849 of the family's 1533-position model. Lineage: Bacteria; Fusobacteriati; Fusobacteriota; Fusobacteriia; Fusobacteriales; Fusobacteriaceae. The record is from RNAcentral.